CAAGACAGGUGGUGCAUGGUUGUCGUCAGCUCGUGUCGUGAGAUGUUGGGUUAAGUCCCGCAACGAGCGCAACCCUUAUGCUUAGUUGCCAGCACGUGAUGGUGGGCACUCUAAGCAGACUGCCGGUGACAAACCGGAGGAAGGUGGGGAUGACGUCAAAUCAUCAUGCCCCUUAUGACCUGGGCUACACACGUACUACAAUGGUCGGUACAACGGGAAGCAAAGCCGCGAGGUGGAGCCAAUCCUUAAAAGCCGAUCUCAGUUCGGAUUGCAGGCUGCAACUCGCCUGCAUGAAGUCGGAAUUGCUAGUAAUCGCGGAUCAGCAUGCCGCGGUGAAUACGUUCCCGGGUCUUGUACACACCGCCCGUCACACCACGAGAGUUUGCAACACCCGAAGUCGGUGGGGUAACCGCAAGGAGCCAGCCGCCGAAGGUGGGGUAGAUGAUUGGGGUGAAGUCGUAACAAGGUAGCCGUAUCGGAAGGUGCGGCUGGAUCACCUCCUUU
This 504-nucleotide ribosomal RNA is filed under the name Paenibacillus hunanensis. Its description in RNAcentral is "bacterial SSU rRNA". It matches the Rfam family "Bacterial small subunit ribosomal RNA", at positions 1030 to 1533 of the family's 1533-position model. The record is from RNAcentral. Lineage: Bacteria; Bacillati; Bacillota; Bacilli; Caryophanales; Paenibacillaceae.